UACAGAGGUCCCAAGCGUUGUUCGGAUUCAUUGGGCGUAAAGGGCGCGUAGGCGGCCUGCUAAGUCGAACGUGAAAUCCCUGGGCUCAACCCAGGAACUGCGUCCGAUACUGGUUGGCUUGAAUCCGGGAGAGGGAUGUGGAAUUCCAGGUGUAGCGGUGAAAUGCGUAGAUAUCUGGAGGAACACCGGUGGCGAAGGCGGCAUCCUGGACCAACACUGACACUGAGGAGCGAAAGCCAGGGGAGCAAACGGG
Molecule: ribosomal RNA, 253 nt
Filed under: uncultured bacterium
Lineage: Bacteria
Description: partial 16S ribosomal RNA
Rfam family: Bacterial small subunit ribosomal RNA
Source: RNAcentral